Molecule: non-coding RNA, 29 nt
Filed under: Rattus norvegicus (Norway rat)
Lineage: Eukaryota; Metazoa; Chordata; Mammalia; Rodentia; Muridae
Source: RNAcentral
UGCAGUGAGCGCCUGACUUCUCCAGGAGU